RNAcentral lists this ribosomal RNA (468 nucleotides) under uncultured bacterium. RNAcentral describes it as "partial 16S ribosomal RNA". It matches the Rfam family "Bacterial small subunit ribosomal RNA", at positions 28 to 507 of the family's 1533-position model. The record is from RNAcentral.
GACGAACGCUGGCGGCGUGCUUAACACAUGCAAGUCGAACGGAAAGGCCCUGCUUUUGUGGGGUGCUCGAGUGGCGAACGGGUGAGUAACACGUGAGUAACCUGCCCUUGACUUUGGGAUAACUUCAGGAAACUGGGGCUAAUACCGGAUAGGAGCUCCUGCUGCAUGGUGGGGGUUGGAAAGUUUCGGCGGUUGGGGAUGGACUCGCGGCUUAUCAGCUUGUUGGUGGGGUAGUGGCUUACCAAGGCUUUGACGGGUAGCCGGCCUGAGAGGGUGACCGGCCACAUUGGGACUGAGCUACGGCCCAGACUCCUACGGGAGGCAGCAGUGGGGAAUAUUGCACACUGGGCGGAAGCCUGAUGCAGCAACGCCGCGUGCGGGAUGACGGCCUUCGGGUUGUAACCCGCUUUCGCCUGUGACGAAGCGUGAGUGACGGUAAUGGGUAAAGAAGCACCGGCUAACUACGUG